AACGAACGCUGGCGGCAUGCCUAAUACAUGCAAGUCGAGCGGUUGACGGGAGCUUGCUCCCUGAUUCAGCGGCGGACGGGUGAGUAAUGCCUAGGAAUCUGCCUAUUAGUGGGGGACAACGUUUCGAAAGGAACGCUAAUACCGCAUACGUCCUACGGGAGAAAGCAGGGGACCUUCGGGCCUUGCGCUAAUAGAUGAGCCUAGGUCGGAUUAGCUUGUUGGUGAGGUAAUGGCUCACCAAGGCGACGAUCCGUAACUGGUCUGAGAGGAUGAUCAGUCACGCUGGAACUGAGACACGGUCCAGACUCCUACGGGAGGCAGCAGUGGGGAAUAUUGGACAAUGGGCGAAAGCCUGAUCCAGCCAUGCCGCGGGUGUGAAGAAGGUCUUCGGAUUGUAAAGCACUUUAAGUUGGGAGGAAGGGUUGUAGAUUAAUACUCUGCAAUUUUGACGUUACCGACAGAAUAAGCACCGGCUAACUCUGUGCCAGCAGCCGCCGUAA
Molecule: ribosomal RNA, 500 nt
Filed under: uncultured bacterium
Lineage: Bacteria
Description: partial 16S ribosomal RNA
Rfam family: Bacterial small subunit ribosomal RNA
Source: RNAcentral